GGGGCUUCUGGAGAAUUAGCUGCUUGCUUUCCUUGCUUGGCGUCUCUUGGAUAAAGACUUUCCUUUAUCAACACUGUGUCGGUAGAUUGGUCUUAUUGCGAGAGGGCGCGUAGACCCAAGUUUGGUUCGGUUACAGCUCCGUCAUUUUGAUCACCAUCGCACACUUUGACCUCAGGUCAGACCAAAUUCCUUGGGUAUAAUAAUGCUGCUGCUGCUGCUAAUAAUAAUAACUAAAUAUGCAAAUCUGCUAAUAAAAAUAACAAUAACUGUGCUCUUUGAGCACUAACUGCAACCCAGACCCUCUGCUAAGCACCUUUGUGGGUCAUCAUCCUUGUUCCGUCUUCAUAACCACUUUGUGAGGGAGACUGACUGUGACCCUGACUGUGAAAUCUGUGUUCCUGAUAGAAUUAUAUAGAUAAAAUCUUCUACUAAUAGCAGCACUUUGGCUUAGUGGUGGCUGGAUCUGUAUUAAUAUUUUGGGUCUUAAUUGGUGACUGGAUCGACAGGAAACCAAAAAAGAAAGAAGGGAGCUGGAACAGUUCUGGCACUGCUGGCUCACCGUGUCUUCCAUCCACCCUGUGUGCCGUGAGAGUAAACGUCAGAGGCAAGACGCGAAUGCCCUUCAGUGAGUCAUCUCUGGGUGGUCCUGCUCACUGAUUUGGGAUCUAACUAAUCUUUAAGCAGUGUUCUCCUCACCCGUAAUUUUCAAAUCAGAGCCUAAAUCUCACAGACAUGAAGGCAAUGGAACAGCAGCGUCUCUGUCUGCAAGGUACAAAUUAGCACCAUAUCUGGUGGUACUAGGAUAGGAAGAAGA
Molecule: long non-coding RNA, 814 nt
Filed under: Sus scrofa (pig)
Lineage: Eukaryota; Metazoa; Chordata; Mammalia; Artiodactyla; Suidae
Description: lncRNA (ENSSSCG00050054430.1)
Source: RNAcentral